UCACUUGUCUCCUAAAUAGAGACCUGUAUGAANNGCAUAACGAGGGCCUAGCUGUCUCCCCCUCCCAGUUAAUGAAAUUGAUCUUUCCGUGCAGAAGCGGGAAUAUAACCAUAAGACGAGAAGACCCUAUGAAGCUUUAGAUAAAAGGUAGAUCAAACUACAACAUCCCCAAAACAAAGGGCUGAACCAAAUGAUUUCUACCCUAAUGUCUUUGGUUGGGGUGACCGCGGGGAAAUAAAAAACCCCCAUGUGGAACGGGAGUAUUACUCCUUUAACUAAGAGCAACAGCUCUAAUAAACAGAAUUUUUGACCAAUAAGAUCNNGCAACGCCGAUCAACGGACCGAGUUACUCUAGGGAUAACAGCGCAAUCCUCUUUUAGAGACCA
This 386-nucleotide ribosomal RNA is filed under the name Pseudaphritis urvillii (congolli). Its description in RNAcentral is "partial 16S ribosomal RNA". It matches the Rfam family "Bacterial large subunit ribosomal RNA", at positions 1965 to 2502 of the family's 2925-position model. The record is from RNAcentral. Lineage: Eukaryota; Metazoa; Chordata; Actinopteri; Perciformes; Pseudaphritidae.